ACGUCCCGCCUCGUGAUCGUCUUCUCACCCUUCACGCGGGCGGGCGGCAGGGCGGAGACCCCCGUGAGGACCUGACUCACGGGGGUUUUCC
RNAcentral lists this non-coding RNA (91 nucleotides) under Streptomyces glaucescens. RNAcentral's name for it is "sodF sRNA". It matches the Rfam family "sodF sRNA". From Rfam's summary of the family: Identified in Streptomyces coelicolor. It is produced from sodF mRNA by cleavage of about 90 nucleotides from its 3'UTR. However, it does not affect the function of sodF mRNA, but acts on another mRNA called sodN. s-SodF RNA has a sequence complimentary to sodN mRNA from the 5'-end up to the ribosome binding site. Lineage: Bacteria; Bacillati; Actinomycetota; Actinomycetes; Kitasatosporales; Streptomycetaceae. The record is from Rfam by way of RNAcentral.